CCAACUCGUAUUCGCAUCUGUGUGGCUGGGAACGGCUGGAAUGGGUUCUGCAAAGUCUCGUUCCGGCUACUUCCCAGUCGCAUGGGUGUUACUUGUGAGUAGAGUGCGCCGAAUCGGUUGGCUGUGCUGUUGGAUGGCUGAGAAGGAGCCCAACUUGUUGGAAGCUUUCCCUACCGGACAACAGAUGUGGCUAAUUGCAAUGGGAGUUGGUGAAUUCGCUGCUGCUGGCUGGAGUCUGGAUGGCGUUGGUGCGAUGCAUGCAUUUCGCCUUCACUGUCUGGAUUCUGAUCGGUGGCUGCUCGACUCCCCAUUCGGUGUCUAGUCGGUCACCCAUUUGACCCGUCUUGAAACACGGACCAAGGAGUUUAAGGUGUGCGCAAGUCAUUGAGCAGCAAACUCAAAGGCGCAAUGAAAGUGGGACACUCAGUGUCUGGAGCAUGAGUCGAGGUUGUCUAGACGGCCCGACGCAAUGUUGACCCAUGACUAGGACUUGUUCUGUUGUGGAGUCUGAGCGCACGCCUUGAGACCCGAAAGAUGGUGAACUAUGCCUGAACAGGACGAAGUCAGAGGAAACUCUGAUGGAAGUCCGA
This 590-nucleotide ribosomal RNA is filed under the name Aphelenchoides sp. Ap046. RNAcentral describes it as "eukaryotic LSU rRNA". It matches the Rfam family "Eukaryotic large subunit ribosomal RNA", at positions 430 to 878 of the family's 3401-position model. The record is from RNAcentral. Lineage: Eukaryota; Metazoa; Nematoda; Chromadorea; Rhabditida; Aphelenchoididae.